UUGAAACACGGACCAAGGAGUGCAACAUGUGCGCGAGCCCUUUGGCGAGCAAACCAGAAGGCGCAAUGAAAGUGAAGGCACGGCCGCCGUGCUGAGGUGAGAGCCGUCCCCGCCGGGGCGGCGCAUCAUCGACCGAUCCCAUCCGCGCUGUUCGCAGUGCGGCGGGAUUCGAGUGAGAGUGUACCUGUUGCGACCCGAAAGAUGGUGAACUAUGCCUGAAUAGGGUGAAGCCAGAGGAAACUCUGGUGGAGGCCCGUAGCGAUUCUGACGUGCAAAUCGAUCGUCAAAUUUGGGUAUAGGGGCGAAAGACUAAUCGAACCAUCUAGUAGCUGGUUCCCUCCGAAGUUUCCCUCAGGAUAGCUGUAGCCCGAGGCAGUUUUAUCAGGUAAAGCGAAUGAUUAGAGGUAUCGGGGAAGAAACUUCCUCGACCUAUUCUCAAACUUUAAAUAGGUAAGAAGUCCGACUUGCUCAAUCUGAAGCCGGACGCAGAAUGCUGGGUUACUAGUGGGCCAUUUUUGGUAAGCAGAACUGGCGAUGCGGGAUGAACCGAACGCAGAGUUAAGGUGCCAAAGUCGACGCUCAUCAGAUCCCACAAAAGGUGUUGGUUGAUAUAGACAGCAGGACGGUGGCCAUGGAAGUCGGAAUCCGCUAAGGAGUGUGUAACAACUCACCUGCCG
Molecule: ribosomal RNA, 677 nt
Filed under: Dysidea sp. MTR-2018
Lineage: Eukaryota; Metazoa; Porifera; Demospongiae; Dictyoceratida; Dysideidae
Description: LSU rRNA
Rfam family: Eukaryotic large subunit ribosomal RNA
Source: RNAcentral